GACGAACGCUGGCGGCGUGCUUAACACAUGCAAGUCGAACGGAAAGGCCCUGCUUUUGUGGGGUGCUCGAGUGGCGAACGGGUGAGUAACACGUGAGUAACCUGCCCUUGACUUUGGGAUAACUUCAGGAAACUGGGGCUAAUACCGGAUAGGAGCUCCUGCUGCAUGGUGGGGGUUGGAAAGUUUCGGCGGUUGGGGAUGGACUCGCGGCUUAUCAGCUUGUUGGUGGGGUAGUGGCUUACCAAGGCUUUGACGGGUAGCCGGCCUGAGAGGGUGACCGGCCACAUUGGGACUGAGAUACGGCCCAGACUCCUACGGGAGGCAGCAGUGGGGAAUAUUGCACAAUGGGCGGAAGCCUGAUGCAGCAACGCCGCGUGCGGGAUGACGGCCUUCGGGUUGUAAACCGCUUCCGCCUGUGACGAAGCGUGAGAGACGGUAAUGGGUAAAGAAGCACCGGCUAACUACGUG
RNAcentral lists this ribosomal RNA (468 nucleotides) under uncultured bacterium. RNAcentral's name for it is "partial 16S ribosomal RNA". It matches the Rfam family "Bacterial small subunit ribosomal RNA", at positions 28 to 507 of the family's 1533-position model. The record is from RNAcentral.